CCUACGGGAGGCAGCAGUGGGGAAUAUUGGGCAAUGGGCGCAAGCCUGACCCAGCAACGCCGCGUGAAGGAUGAAGGUUUUCGGAUUGUAAACUUCUGUCGCGAGGGACGAAGAAUGACGGUACCUCGUAAGAAAGCAUCGGCUAACUCCGUGCCAGCAGCCGCGGUAAUACGGAGGAUGCGAGCGUUAUCCGGAUUUAUUGGGUUUAAAGGGUGCGUAGGCGGUCCGUUAAGUCAGCGGUAAAAUUGCGGGGCCCAACCCCGUCGAGCCGUUGAAACUGGCAGAAUUGAGUUGGCGAGAAGUACGCGGAGUGCGGGGUGGAGGGGAGAAAGGCAUAGAUAGCGCGCAGAA
RNAcentral lists this ribosomal RNA (351 nucleotides) under uncultured bacterium. RNAcentral describes it as "partial 16S ribosomal RNA". It matches the Rfam family "Bacterial small subunit ribosomal RNA", at positions 338 to 706 of the family's 1533-position model. The record is from RNAcentral.